UCACUUAGAGUAAUGUCUAAGUAUCAUUAAGUAAAUACAUAGCUUAAUGAGGGGAACUCAGGGAACUGAAACAUCUAAGUACCUGAAGGAAGAGAAAGAAAUUCGAUUCCGUAAGUAGCGGCGAGCGAACGCGGAUUAGCCCAAACCAAUAAAGUUUUCUUUAUUGGGGUUGCGGACAUAUCAUAACGAAGAGGUAUCGUAAUUGAAGAGGUUUGGAAAGAUCCACCACAGAAGGUAAUAGUCCUGUAUGUUAAACGAGAAGACUUCAGAUAUGAUCCAGAGUACCACGGGACACGUGAAACCCUGUGGGAAGCAGGAGGGACCACCCUCCAAGGCUAAAUACUACCUAGUGAUCGAUAGCGUAUAGUACCGUGAGGGAAAGGUGAAAAGAACCCCGGGAGGGGAGUGAAAUAGAACCUGAAACCCUGCACUUACAAGCUGUGGAAGCACAUUUCUUGUGUGACCGCGUACUUUUUGUAGAACGGGCCAACGAGUUACGUUAAGUAGCAAGGUUAAGCACUUAAGGUGCGGAGCCGUAGCGAAAGCGAGUUUUAACUGAGCGUUCAGUUACUUGACGUAGACCCGAAACCGGGCGACCUACCCAUGAGCAGGAUGAAGCGAAAGUAAAAUUUCGUGGAGGUCCGAACCCACGAGCGUUGAAAAGCUCGGGGAUGACUUGUGGGUAGCGGUGAAAUUCCAAUCGAGCCCGGAGAUAGCUGGUUCUCCCCGAAAUAGCUUUAGGGCUAGCCUCAAGGUGAGAGAUACGGAGGUAGAGCACUGAAUGUCCUAGGGGGUAUUGCACCUACCGAAGACUAUCAAACUCCGAAUGCCGUCAUCUUAUACUUGGGAGUCAGACUGUGGGUGAUAAGAUUCAUAGUCGAAAGGGCAACAGCCCAGAUCGUCAGCUAAGGUCCCUAAAUGUAAGUUAAGUGGUAAAGGAUGUGGGAUUGCACAGACAACCAGGAUGUUGGCUUAGAAGCAGCCACUCAUUCAAAGAGUGCGUAAUAGCUCACUGGUCGAGUGAUCCUGCGCCGAAGAUUUCCGGGGCUAAAACUUACUACCGAAGCUACGGCAUCAGUAAUGAUGGGUAGGGGAGCUUCCCAUACGGGUUGAAGCAUGACCGUAAGGACAUGUGGACAGUAUGGGAGUGAGAAUGUUGGCAUGAGUAGCGAGAUGUGGGUGAGAAUCCCACAGGCCGUAAACCCAAGGUUUCCAGGGGAAGGUUCGUCCGCCCUGGGUUAGUCGGGACCUAAGCUGAGGCCGAAAGGCGUAGGUG
This 1276-nucleotide ribosomal RNA is filed under the name Clostridioides difficile. RNAcentral's name for it is "partial 23S ribosomal RNA". It matches the Rfam family "Bacterial large subunit ribosomal RNA", at positions 128 to 1417 of the family's 2925-position model. The record is from RNAcentral. Lineage: Bacteria; Bacillati; Bacillota; Clostridia; Peptostreptococcales; Peptostreptococcaceae.